UUAGUCGUUUAUUUUAUUUUAUUUUUUUUUAUUUUUUUUUUUUUGAAACUUUUAAAUUGCAACAUCUUAUAGCUUCGACAUAGUAAAAUUGCUACUUAUUAAUUUUACAAAUAUAUAAAGUUAUUGUCAAGUUUUUUUUUUUGAAAGAAUAUGCUCAUACAAAUACGUACUUAGUAACAUACCCUUUACCCAUCAGUUUUUUUUUUUUUUUUUUUUAUAUUUUCCUAUACUCAUAUAAUGUUAAAACAAAAAUGAAUAAUGGACAUAAGUAUCGCAUUAACAAAAUAAAGGAUAUAGAAACCCCAGUUAACAUAAUUUUAACAAAUGAUUUACAACCUGAGUUCAUAAACUUAGAGCUACUUAGAAAAAUCGAAAGUAAAUUUAUUUUAAAUUGUCCAUUAUUAGAAGUAUACAAUCACUUAGAUGUAUUUGCACAAGCAAAAGAAUUUUUUUCAAAAGAAGGUAAAACAGAAUCAGGAAGAAGUUACAUAAACAAACUAUGUGAUUUUGAUAACAGUUAUAGAUAUUUAAACAUUAGGAAUGUAUUAAAAGAUGAUUUUUUUUUAAAUAUAAAUAAAAAUAUAACUAUAAAAUAUAAUAAAUCGAGUGUAGUAUUUACAUUGGAUGAAUUUUUUAAAUGCAUUAAAUUAUUUGAGCCUGACAUUAUUUGUAUACCAUCAGAAGAAAUUAAAAUAAAUGAAGAAGUAGGAAAAAAAAAAAAAAUAAGAAUAAUCAAAUUAAUGAAUGAAUUUUUAGAGAAAAUAGAAAUUCUAAAAAAUGAAAAAAAAAUGAACAAUGAUAAUGAUUCUUUUUUAUGUAUUUUAUCGGUACCAUCCACAAUUAACAUAAACAAACUACUUAUAGACACAUUAAACAAAUACGACAGCAUUAUUGAUGGUUAUUUAUUGAGUGGAUUAGGAUACGAAGAAUCAAACGAAGUGAGAACAAGUUAUAUAACAAAUGUUUUAAGUAUACUACCUAAAAAUAAAUUAAAGUUUAU
This 1000-nucleotide long non-coding RNA is filed under the name Piliocolobus tephrosceles (Ugandan red Colobus). RNAcentral describes it as "lncRNA (ENSPTEG00000002120.1)". Lineage: Eukaryota; Metazoa; Chordata; Mammalia; Primates; Cercopithecidae. The record is from RNAcentral.